This 253-nucleotide ribosomal RNA is filed under the name uncultured bacterium. RNAcentral describes it as "partial 16S ribosomal RNA". It matches the Rfam family "Bacterial small subunit ribosomal RNA", at positions 524 to 776 of the family's 1533-position model. The record is from RNAcentral.
UACGUAGGGUGCAAGCGUUGUUCGGAUUCAUUGGGCGUAAAGGGUGCGUAGGUGGCGAGGCAAGUCUGGUGUGAAAUCCCGGGGCUCAACCCCGGAACUGCACUGGAUACUGCUUUGCUAGAGUACUGGAGAGGAGAUUGGAAUUUACGGUGUAGCAGUGAAAUGCGUAGAUAUCGUAAGGAAGAUCAGUGGCGAAGGCGAAUCUCUGGACAGUUACUGACACUGAGGCACGAAGGCCAGGGGAGCAAACGGG